Molecule: ribosomal RNA, 908 nt
Filed under: Stagonosporopsis centaureae
Lineage: Eukaryota; Fungi; Ascomycota; Dothideomycetes; Pleosporales; Didymellaceae
Description: eukaryotic LSU rRNA
Rfam family: Eukaryotic large subunit ribosomal RNA
Source: RNAcentral
CGGAAGCAAGACAACAGGGAUUGCCCUAGUAACGGCGAGUGAAGCGGCAACAGCUCAAAUUUGAAAUCUGGCGUCUUUGGCGUCCGAGUUGUAAUUUGCAGAGGGCGCUUUGGCAUUGGCAGCGGUCCAAGUUCCUUGGAACAGGACGUCACAGAGGGUGAGAAUCCCGUACGUGGUCGCUAGCCUCUACCGUGUAAAGCCCCUUCGACGAGUCGAGUUGUUUGGGAAUGCAGCUCUAAAUGGGAGGUAAAUUUCUUCUAAAGCUAAAUACUGGCCAGAGACCGAUAGCGCACAAGUAGAGUGAUCGAAAGAUGAAAAGCACUUUGGAAAGAGAGUUAAAAAGCACGUGAAAUUGUUGAAAGGGAAGCGCUUGCAGCCAGACUUGCCUGUAGUUGCUCAUCCGGGUUUCUACCCGGUGCACUCUUCUACGGGCAGGCCAGCAUCAGUUUGGGCGGUUGGAUAAAGGUCUCUGUCAUGUACCUCCUUUCGGGGAGGCCUUAUAGGGGAGACGACAUGCAACCAGCCUGGACUGAGGUCCGCGCAUCUGCUAGGAUGCUGGCGUAAUGGCUGUAAGCGGCCCGUCUUGAAACACGGACCAAGGAGUCUAACAUCUAUGCGAGUGUUUGGGUGUCAAGCCCGAACGCGUAAUGAAAGUGAACGGAGGUGGGAACCUUUCGGGGUGCACCAUCGACCGAUCCUGAUGUCUUCGGAUGGAUUUGAGUAAGAGCAUAGCUGUUGGGACCCGAAAGAUGGUGAACUAUGCUUGAAUAGGGUGAAGCCAGAGGAAACUCUGGUGGAGGCUCGCAGCGGUUCUGACGUGCAAAUCGAUCGUCAAAUUUGGGCAUAGGGGCGAAAGACUAAUCGAACUAUCUAGUAGCUGGUUCUGCGAUGCUCUCGCUGUAGAGGAA